RNAcentral lists this ribosomal RNA (253 nucleotides) under uncultured bacterium. Its description in RNAcentral is "partial 16S ribosomal RNA". It matches the Rfam family "Bacterial small subunit ribosomal RNA", at positions 524 to 776 of the family's 1533-position model. The record is from RNAcentral.
UACGUAGGGGGCUAGCGUUGUCCGGAAUCAUUGGGCGUAAAGAGCGUGUAGGCGGCCCGGUAAGUCCGCUGUGAAAGUCGGGGGCUCAACCCUCGAAUGCCGGUGGAUACUGUCGGGCUAGAGUGCGGAAGAGGCGAGUGGAAUUCCUGGUGUAGCGGUGAAAUGCGCAGAUAUCAGGAGGAACACCGGUGGCGAAGGCGGAUCUCUGGGCCUGUCCUGACGCUCAGGCGCGAAAGCUAGGGGAGCAAACAGG